This 374-nucleotide ribosomal RNA is filed under the name uncultured organism. RNAcentral describes it as "bacterial SSU rRNA". It matches the Rfam family "Bacterial small subunit ribosomal RNA", at positions 526 to 896 of the family's 1533-position model. The record is from RNAcentral.
CGUAGGGGGCGAGCGUUGUCCGGAAUCAUUGGGCGUAAAGAGCUCGUAGGCGGCUCGGUAAGUCGGGUGUGAAACCCUCAGGCUCAACCUGGGGACGCCACCCGAUACUGCUGUGGCUAGAGUCCAGUAGGGGAGUGUGGAAUUCCCGGUGCAGCGGUGAAAUGCGCAGAUAUCGGGAGGAACACCAGCGGCGCAGGCGGCACUCUGGGCUGGUACUGACGCUGAGGAGCGAAAGCGUGGGUAGCAAACAGGAUUAGAUACCCUGGUAGUCCACGCCGUAAACGUUGGGCACUAGGUGUGGGGCCUUUCCAACGGGUUCCGUGCCGUAGCUAACGCAUUAAGUGCCCCGCCUGGGGAGUACGGCCGCAAGGCUA